GAAAUGCGAUAAGUAAUGUGAAUUGCAGAAUUCAGUGAAUCAUCGAAUCUUUGAACGCACAUUGCGCCCGCCAGUAUUCUGGCGGGCAUGCCUGUUCGAGCGUCAUUUCAACCAUCAAGCCCCCGGCUUGUGUUGGGGACCUGUGGCUGCCCGCAGGCCCUGAAAACCAGUGGCGGGCUCGCUGUCACACCGAGCGUAGUAGCAUACAUCUCGCUCAGGGCGUGCUGCGGGUUCCGGCCGUUAAAAGCCUUUUUUACCCAAGGUUGACCUCGGAUCAGGUAGGAAGACCCGCUGAACUUAAGC
This 303-nucleotide unclassified non-coding RNA is filed under the name plant metagenome. RNAcentral describes it as "partial contains 5.8S ribosomal RNA, internal transcribed spacer 2, and large subunit ribosomal RNA". The stretch from base 1 to 105 matches the Rfam family "5.8S ribosomal RNA", at positions 50 to 154 of the family's 154-position model. The record is from RNAcentral.